GCAGGUUGUUUGCAAAGGUCAAGCUCCCAGGCUGUUGCUGCAGCAGCUAACAUUUCUCAGCUGUUCUUGGCUCAGUCCUCAAGAUACACAAUCAGAAGGAAGAAGAUUUGCCUUAUUUUUUUGUUUUGUUUCAUUUGAAAGUAGACAGUUGCAAAAAAAAAAAAAA
Molecule: long non-coding RNA, 166 nt
Organism: Terrapene triunguis (Three-toed box turtle)
Lineage: Eukaryota; Metazoa; Chordata; Testudines; Emydidae
Exons: 2
Source: RefSeq, a predicted model, not a curated record